RNAcentral lists this long non-coding RNA (232 nucleotides) under Gossypium raimondii (Peruvian cotton). RNAcentral describes it as "long non-coding RNA (GRAI_LNC001167)". Lineage: Eukaryota; Viridiplantae; Streptophyta; Magnoliopsida; Malvales; Malvaceae. The record is from RNAcentral.
GUUUGCAGAAAACAUUUGCAGAAAACUACCCAUUUGCAGAAACCCUUAACAAUCAAAACUGAAAUUAGAAAAUAACUGAAAUAAAAACUCAAUCAAUGAAACAAAAAAAAAAUAGAUUAAGAAAGUAGAGGAGGAAAAACAGUAGAGAAAAGGAGGAAAGGCACACCCAAGAAAAAAUCACGAUCAACAAAAAUAAUAUACAGAAAAAAGGAGAACAGAACCUGUUGAUAAC